Molecule: ribosomal RNA, 484 nt
Filed under: uncultured bacterium
Lineage: Bacteria
Description: partial 16S ribosomal RNA
Rfam family: Bacterial small subunit ribosomal RNA
Source: RNAcentral
AUUGAACGCUGGCGGCAUGCUUUACACAUGCCAGUCGAACGGCAGCGCGGGCUUCGGCCUGGCGGCGAGUGGCGAACGGGUGAGUAAUACAUCGGAACGUGCCCAGUAGUGGGGGAUAGCUCGGCGAAAGCCGGAUUAAUACCGCAUACGACCUGAGGGUGAAAGCGGGGGACCUUCGGACCUCGCGCUAUUGGAGCGGCCGAUGGCAGAUUAGCUAGUUGGUGGGGUAAAGGCCUACCAAGGCGACGAUCUGUAGCUGGUCUGAGAGGACGACCAGCCACACUGGGACUGAGACACGGCCCAGACUCCUACGGGAGGCAGCAGUGGGGAAUUUUGGACAAUGGGCGAAAGCCUGAUCCAGCAAUGCCGCGUGUGUGAUGAAGGCCUUCGGGUUGUAAAGCACUUUUGGCGGGAACGAAAAGGACUGUGCCAAUACCACGGUUCGAUGACGGUACCCGCAGAAUAAGCACCGGCUAACUACGUG